This 65-nucleotide small RNA is filed under the name Sinorhizobium meliloti 2011. RNAcentral describes it as "putative ncRNA". The record is from RNAcentral. Lineage: Bacteria; Pseudomonadati; Pseudomonadota; Alphaproteobacteria; Hyphomicrobiales; Rhizobiaceae.
ACGGUUGCCAUCUGCGGUCGACACUUGAGUGUAUAGAUCGUGCAGAGCAAGGAACCUCCGAAGGU